AACGAACGCUGGCGGCAGGCCUAACACAUGCAAGUCGAGCGCGCCCUUCGGGGUGAGCGGCGGACGGGUUAGUAACGCGUGGGAAUAUGCCCAAAGGUACGGAAUGGCCUCUGGAAACGGAGAGUAAUACCGUAUGUGCCCUUCGGGGAAAGGAUUAUCGCCUUUGGAUUAGCCCGCGUUAGAUUAGGUAGUUGGUGGGGUAAGUGGCCUACCAAGCCUACGAUCUAUAGACUGGUUUUAGUAGGAUGAUCAGCAACACUGGGACUGAGACACGGCCCACGACUCCUACGGGAGGGCAGCAGUGGGGAAGUCUUGGACAAUGGGGGGCGAACCCUCGAUCCAGCCAUGCCGCGUGAGUGAUG
RNAcentral lists this ribosomal RNA (362 nucleotides) under uncultured Alphaproteobacteria bacterium. RNAcentral's name for it is "bacterial SSU rRNA". It matches the Rfam family "Bacterial small subunit ribosomal RNA", at positions 29 to 410 of the family's 1533-position model. The record is from RNAcentral. Lineage: Bacteria; Pseudomonadati; Pseudomonadota; Alphaproteobacteria.